GGGUCCCCCUGGUCAGGUUUCCAUUUCAUAGGUAUUGAAAUUAUAUACACAGUCAAUAUUUCAAACAGAUUAUAGAGCAAAUGAAAUUCAUCCAAAACAACACUAAAUAUUACAAUACAUAAUAUGCUACUCUGACCAAUAUUACACUUUGCCUGAUAUUACAAUACAUAAUAUGCUACUCUUGCUGAUAGGCUUCACGGCUUCACACUUCAUACUUCACCUAUGCAAAAAGAAGAAGAAUAAGAACCUGUAGGCAGCAUCAAACAUAGCUUAUAAGAAGAAUUGACAAUAAGCUCAAUUUAACUAGUCAACAAAUCUUCCAUCUAUAUUUCUAUCAGCAGCACACUAGAUAGGCCACACAUUUAUUCCUACAGUACAGUGAGGAAAAAACAGAUUAUGGUGCCUGCCAAGUGACGUAAAAUCAUAUUAUCAGCAACACACUAGAUAGGCCACACAUUUAUUACAUUUACAUGGUGGUGGCUGGCUGGCAACCAUGGCUGCUAGCUCAUGCUGCCAGUGUGCAUGCACAUCUCCCCGCUGGAACCAACCCAACCCAAACGAAGCAACAGUAGCAAACCACACAUGUACCAGUAAACUUCAGUAUGAAACAAUUCAUCGCCGAAAUAAACUACCAAAUCAUUUCCAAGAAUUUCGAAGAAACCACCUCAAGUCGAUUCAGCCAAGGAUAUUAUUUUCCACAAGCAAAAAACUAUGGUUCAGCUCCCACAUGGGCAUGGGGUUUUUGGGUUUCAAGACACAAAUCACAGAACUGGAUGGGCAUAUAGAAGGUACACUAUGAAUCUACGGCGUCAACCUGCUGGAGUUACUUGUCCUCAGUGAUGAGCAACUGCUUCCUCCUUGGGCUUGGUCAUCUGGACAGCCAAAAAAACAUGCAACUGUAAGAAGAUGGAUUGAUGGUAAAAAGAGUGAAGAAUUGUGAUUCAGUGAACAGAAAAGCAUAUGUACAUUAUAAUACUGCAGACAAGAAAAUAAUAAUCCUAAUAUGAAGAUAAGUGUUUUUCUUAUUGAUGGCUGUAAGAUGGACUGAUCGUAAAAAGAGAGAAGAAUUUUGAUUCAGUGAACAGAAAACAAGACGUUAUUAUUCAGCUGUGAUACUCGAUAUUUGACAAGUAUUGAUAUUUGACAAGUAUGGUUUCAUGUAUACUCCUACAAGUUAGGCAGAGCAAUGUACAAGAUAAAUCGUUUUAUAUAAAGCGUGUCCAAUUAAUAUCCAAAAUGCUAUCGAGCAGAGCAUAGAAACAGAGUCCCAAAAAUCUAAUUAUCUGCUGCGGCGACAGCCACGCAGCAAGCCAGCAGCGGCAGGCUGGGGCGAGGGUUGGGGAGCAGGCAAGUGUUCUCAGGUUAUUAACAGGGAAACUGGGUGAUUAACAUCUCUCCAAAAAGAAAAAGAAAACAACUUUAAAUAUUGAGUGUGGCAGCAACAUGUACUUGUUACUGGAGUCCCAGUUCAAGAUGGCCAAAGGCCACUUGGCACCAUGGAACCUGCACAAUUUCCAUCAUAUAUAUGAAUGAGUUAGGAAGUAAAGUAUAUUUGAACUACCCAGCCUCAUACAUAUAUAUAAAGUGUGUUGCACUGCUGCUACAGAAAGUUUCAUAGGCUUCCAAGUGAAGGGAUACACGUUGUUCAACUGCCGUGUUUAUUUUUUGUUGUUGGGGAAAGCAAUAGCUUAAUCAGUUCACUUCUCUAAUAGUAUGAACAACCUAUCACUCAAACAGUCCUUGAGUGCUAAUAUAUUAUUGUAUUGGUAAAAGUAACAUGUCACCACGAAGAGCUUUAACAGUUAGCACCAUUUUUUAUUAGAGAAGUUCAGACAGAGAUUUGAUAAAUCUAUAUUAGAGAAAACUUGAAGACAACAUACAGAAUUAUGAGCUUAACAGUUACUGCUAUGACCAUAUCACGCAAGCUACAACAUAUAAAUUAAUUAGCAUUAGUAUGAUGUAUAUGGACAGAAUUUCUACCUUGCCGUCAGCAAGAAACAUGACGGGAGGUCGAGGAGAUUUCGAGCGGCUCCGUGUUAGCUGCCAUCACCACGACGAACUCAGAUGUCCCGCUGUUAAGAGAACUUGGUCGCUGUGGAAAGCAAGAAACAAAUAUUAAAAUCACAGGAGGUGAAAUUAACAGGAAGGACCAAUGGGCACUGCUAGGGAUUGGUCACCUUCAUGGGGAACUGAACAUCCAACUAGUUUUAGUCAAAGUCUUAAGCAUAUACAUACAUACAAAUUGAACCAAAAAUCAUAUGCAUGUCUGUACAAUAAUUGCAAGGCUAUCCAACUUGCAGUUGGAGAGAGUACCAACAAGUUUACUGGUAGUACAUCACACCAGCCUACACAACAUUCAGGUUCUCGCACGAAUGCUAGUAGACAGACAAGAGUUGACCACAAACAAAGAAUGAAUCCAUCGUAUUAUGCCAGUAGUAGGUACAGCUUGGCUUCAGUCAUAGAAAGGGAACAUGAGUUUGCUUGCUUGAACCAAAAGGUUCACCAUAGGAAUUGGGCAUCCAACAUGUUUUAGCCAAAGUCGUAAGCAUGAACAAACAAACAUACGUACAAAAUGAACCAAAAUCCAUAUGUCCGUGCAAUUAACUACAGGUGCUAUCCAACUUGCUAUUGGACAGAGUAGAGCCUGAUUUACUAGCAGUCUGACACAAAAUUCUAACUCUAGGCUUGGUGCAUGAAUCCUAGUAGAGAGACAAGAAAGAGUUGACCACAACAAAGAAUUCAUUCAUGGGAUUAUUCUAGUAGCAAGUACUGCUUGGCUGCAGUUUUAGAAAGGGGACUUGAGUUUGGUCAAACAAAAAGAAAAAGUGACGCAUACUUGUUCAUAGAUAGAAACUGAACAUCCAACGGCAAUGGCGGCGCCGAGGCGGGUGGACGGGCGGCAGCUUGGGUGAUCUCAUCUGCUAAACCAUGUCGCUGAUGAGCUGCACGUGGCUGCUCCGGUGCCUCUCCACGAACAUCCUCGACGCGCCCGCCACCGUCUUCUUCCACGUAUGAGCGCGCACGCACGCGCAACCAACCAACACAUCAUUAGCCGAGGCGAUCGAAAUUGAGGUACAGAAAUGGAGUGACGGAGAGACGGCCAGCGUAUUAGCUUACCCGCUCCAGCGCGGGAAGCAAGUGCGCGACGCCGGCCUCGUCGAGCCGCGCGCCCCGCUUCGCAUGCGCGUGGCUGCCAUUGCCCUUCCGCGCGGAGGAGGAGGAGGAGGCUGUGGUGGUGGUCGGCAGCAGCAUCCCGGCCCUCCAGUCCGUGGACCCGCCAAUGCUGCGCCGCGGUUUGGGCGCCGCCAGCUCCAGAUCCGCCCCGGAUGCGCUGGAGUCUUUGGCGGAGAGCCCCGACGCGACGUGGCGGGACGAGCGCUUGCGGCGCAGCACGAGGCUGCGGCGGGGCGGGGUUGACCGCUGCUUGGAGCGCGGGUAGGAGGGAUCCCACUUGGCCAUGCUGGUGCGGUCGUGGUCGGCACCUGUGUGCAUACAUCGCUGGCCGGCCUCGUGGGAGUGAGCGCUUUUCUCUCCGUCGGCUCGAGCUCGAUCGAUCGUGUGGUCGUUGUGUUGUGUGUGACCGCCAGUUUUACUUGUCCCGUGACACAGGCGGGCGAAACGGAAGGGAAUCUCCAUCAUCAUACGAGUUGGGUGGCGGCGCCGAGGCGGGUGGGUGGGAGGGGAGGAAGGAAUGAACCGGGGAGACGGUCUGGUUUGGGAAAUCGGCAACGGCGCGCGGGAGGCGUCGAGGGAGGAGGAGCAGGCGGAGCAGGAGGGCGUGGGGGAGGCCAUGGACGGCGGCGAGCUCCGCUGGAGGGAGGUGGCGGCGGUGAUCUCUUCCUCGAUCUGGAGGGAGCUGGAGGAAGGAAGGAGACGAGCUCUCUCUCGAUCUGGGAUGGAUUGGGAAAAAAAGGAGGCGGGGGGUGGAUGCAAAAUGACCACGAGAACAGAGUUAGGGUUGGUGUGGAAGGGUUGAUGACUGCCGUUGGAUCCUCGAGCAUUUGACGUUGUAUAAUCCAUGAUCCGCGUGAUAUGUUUAUAGACCAAUCAAAACGCAGCAAACAAUUCGAAGACCUUAUGACCAUCUAAAUGGGUCGAAAUCAAAGAUAAGUUUUUCAGAAAAAACCACUUUUCACUUUUUAGUUCUCAAAAUGAGUUUUUUUAAAAGACCUACCAAAUAUUUGUUGAAAUGAUCUCAUAUUGUGCACAAGGGUGCAUCUUGGAAUUCCAAACAAUGUUGCCUAAGGGAGUUUUCAUUUUCUUUGCACGGAAAAUUCAUUUUCCAUUUUUCGAGUGCCCGAAAUGGGUUUUUUUAAGCACCUAUCAUAUAUUUGUUGUAAAAUUGGACCAAAUCAAUUUUCUAAAAUACUAGGCCAUAUUUAAUGCACAAUUGACAAAAUGGUUGGGUGUCAAAAGUUUUGAUCCACCUCUGGUGAAAAAGACAAAUUCCCGCCGAUUUAAUAGGAACCGGGUCAAAUUUGAACUGCAUCUCCCUCAUAAUUUGCUGUUUAUUUUUUCCAAAAAUCAUUUCUAGGUACAUAAGUAUCUAUUUAAUCAAGGAAACAUCAAAAGUUUUCCAAGAUUCAACCACUAGCUAGGAACGGCCAAGCCCGCCGUUUUGAUCGCAUUUUGAAAUGGGAAUAAAAAAUUCAAAAAAAUUAAAAAUUGGAAAACCUUCGCAUUGUGUCAUUAUAUGUGACCAAGUUUCCAGGAAAAAUAAUAAAGUUGUAAUAUGACAAUUAAUUUAAAAAAAAAUUCUAAAAAAUGAGCUAUCAUGCUUGAAGAUUCAUGGCUUUCAAGCCAAAUGGUCAAUCUUAUGGCUACAUUCAUGGUAUAGUUUGUUCCAAUGAUCUCAUAUUGUGCACAAGGGUGCAUCUUGGAAUUCCAAAUAAUGUUUUUAAGGGAGUUUUCAUUUUCUUUGCAUGGAAAAUUCAUUUUCCAUUUCCCGAGUGCCCGUGAUGAGUUUUUUUGUGAAGGACCUACCAUAUAUUUGUUGCAAAAUUGGACCAAAUCAAUUUUAUAAAAUACUAGGCCAUAUUUAAUGCACAAUUAACAAAAUGGUUGGGUGUCAAAAGUUUUGAUCCACCUCUGGUGAAAAAGACAAAUUCCCGCCGAUUUAAUAGGAACCAGGUCAAAUUUGAACUGCAGCUGCCUCAUAGUUUGCUCUUUAUUUUUUCCAAAAAACAUUUCUAGGUACAUAAGUAUCUAUUUAAUAAGAGAAAUAUCAGAAGGUUUCCAAGAUUCAACCACUAGCUAGGAACGGUCAAGCCCGCCGUUUUGAUCGCAUUUUGAAACGGGCAUACAAAAUUGAAAAAGAAUCAAACAAUUGGAAAACCUUCACAUUGUGUCAUUAUAUGUGACCAAGUUUCCAGGAAAAAUAAUAAAGUUGUAAUACGACAAUUAAUUUAAAAACGUGUUCUCAGAAAUAAGCUAUCAUGCGUGAAGAUUCAUGGCUUUCAAGCCAAAUGAUCAAUCUUGUGGCCACAUUCAUGGCAUAGUUUGUUCAAAUGAUCUCAUAUUAUGCACAAGGGUGCAUCUUGGAAUUCCAAACAAUGUUUCUUAAGGAAUUUUUCAUUUUCUUUGCACGGAAAAUUCAUUUUCCAUUUUCCGAGUGCCCGAAAUGAGUUUUUUUGUGAAGGGCCUACCAUAUAUUUGUUGCAAAAUUGGACCAAAUCAAUUUUCUAAAAUACUAGGCCAUAUUGAAUGCACAAUUGACAAAAUGGUUGGGUGUCAAAAGUUUUUAUCCACCUCUCGUGAAAAAGACAAAUAUUCGCCCAUUUAGUAGGAAACGUGUCAAAUUUGAACUGCAGCUGCCUUAUAGUUUGCUCUUUAUUUUUUCCAAAAAUCAUUUCUAGUUACAUAAGUAUCUAUUUAAUCAUAAAUACAUGGUUUGGUGGUGAUACGUCGUGGUUUGGACGGUGGCCCAGGGCCCCAACUCCAAAGCGCGUAGACUCGCAUGCCCGUCGCGUGGUCACCACCUGACCGUGGCAUUGCAAUCCGUUCUGGGUAGCCUAGGCAUGUCUAGUAGGUUGGGCACUCCUCAGGUAGAUGCUAGGAAGAAAAUAACAACAGAAGAAUCUCACGAGAAGACCGAACUAUUCUCAAACAUGAAUUAGCAGCCAAGUGUUUGAUAAGCGGUACGGGAAAUUCACAAGGCUAAUGGGCCUGAGUUUUGGCUGAGGAUGAUCAUCUACUAGGGAGACUGUCUUGGCAAAUUUUCAGCUCAAAUGGAGGAGUUUGUAUGGCACUUGCUUUGCGAAGUACCACAUCGGGCAGAAAUAUGGAUGUUGAAUCUGGACUCAAAUGGAUAAGUGGAUUGAGCUUAAAUUUUGUGGAGUAUGGUAAUUUGGGCAUAUUAAAGCACUGUAAAGGUUUUAUACCAUUUGGAUAAUCCUAGCUUGUACUUCCUUCACAAAGCUUCUCUCCGGAUAGAAACUUUAUAAAUUUGUUGAGGAAGAUUUAAUAGGAAAAUGGAGCUGAAUAUUGGAAUGUGGCAAUGAUUUUUAUAUGUAAGAUGGCACAAAAAGUUUGAGGACAAUAGGAGGUGUCUAGAUAGCACUUCCUUUGCAAUCUGCCAAUUUGGACAAAAAAUAGAAAUUGAAGCUGGGCUUACAUAGAUGAUUGGAUUAUGGUGAAAUUCGGCAUACGGGGUUUCUAUAGUCAAGGUAAUGUCCUGGAAAAUUUUCAACAAUUAUAAAGGAAUAUAAAAUGUAGUUGCUUCACAAAAUAAAAAUAUUACCAGGAACAAAGAUUCGAUGGUGAGCUCACAUGUAUUGUUAGAUAGAGCUAAACUUUUGUGUAGAGUUAUGACUUUGGCAUAUAGAAUAUGUGGCAAAAAUUAAACUCAUAACGAUGUUCCUAUCUUGUACUUCCUUCACAAUGCUUCUAGGUGGACAAAAACUUUGGAAAUUUGCUGAGGAAGAUUUGCUGGGCAAAUGGACCUGAAUUUUAUCAUGCGGCAAUGAUUUCGAUAGGAAAGAAUGCCCAAAAAUUUUGAGGGCAAUCAAGAAUAUAUAAAUAGCACUUCCUUCACAAAGUGUUUUUCUGAACAGAAUAGGAAAA
This 7062-nucleotide long non-coding RNA is filed under the name Triticum aestivum (bread wheat). Its description in RNAcentral is "long non-coding RNA (TAES_LNC014418)". The record is from RNAcentral. Lineage: Eukaryota; Viridiplantae; Streptophyta; Magnoliopsida; Poales; Poaceae.